This is an RNA transcript of Gadus chalcogrammus (walleye pollock), 3352 nucleotides long. RefSeq lists it as uncharacterized. The transcript has 8 exons. The record is from RefSeq and is a predicted model, not a curated record. NCBI's taxonomy places the organism in Eukaryota, Metazoa, Chordata, Actinopteri, Gadiformes, Gadidae.
UUCGCAAGGCAUGCUGGGCAUGCUAACCUUCCUUUUUUGGCGGUUUUACCUCGUAGUAACUUUCCAGAAAAACGAAAGGGUUAUGAUGAGAGAUUAUGUCAUACCCUGGCACAUGCUUUGUCCAAUGGACCAUGGAAGGGACUUUACUUGGCUGACGAGGACGCACCUCACCAGUAUCAGAGCAACAGCUGUGGGGUGUUCAUGCUGAUGGUGAGAUGCAUUAUUUUCAGAAAUGAUGACUGAUGACUAGUUUGCAAAACAACUAACUCAUUUGUAUGUUAAUUUCGGUACGCAAUGUAUUCUACCCUCCAAAAGCAAUAUGAUAUCAGUGAGGUGAGUUCUUUCAAAUCUCAAUCAGAUGUGUAGCAUGAAAUAUAAGGCUUUUAAUAAUUUAGUCAUCCUAUCUGGAGGCUACAAUUAACAUGCAUCAAUAGGUCAUAUACCUUACUUUGUCUUCAGGUACUGCACUUACGGGAGGAGAUGGCUACAUCUUCACAAUAAUUUACACUGCCAUAGUACACUGCUAAACAGUACUGUAACAUGGAUUUGUAUCAGGCUAUGAAGUCAUUUAAAGCAUAACUUUACUUUUCAGGGGGAUGCUCUCUAUCAGGAGGUGGUGGUUGGACAGCUGUUGGAGACCUUUAUGCUUGAAAGCCCUGCAGAACUAGCUGGCUCCUUCUCACCCUCUCCAUCUCCCCAUCUCAGUUACACCUUCCAAUCACUAAGCAGUGAAAGCCCUGCAGGACUAGCUGGCACACCAAGCUCACCCUCUCCAUCUCCCCACCCAUGUUUAUUAACUUAAAUUUUUUAUUUUUGAAUAGACAAGCAAGGAGAGGGCACGGAUUGCUCCGUCGGCCCCGGCGUCUCCUCCGUCGGUCCCGGCGUCUCCAGCGCCCUUCGGAUUUGACCAUUUGCGAUGUCCUCUAACAACGCUAACGCAGCCAUUUUUAAAAAAGAAAAUCUUCAUCCAUUGCGCAUGCUUUUAUAGCCACCCAUAUAAUUGCAAGGUGUGUUAAUUGUUCAUUAGUGUGUCUCUGAUGUGCAAAUCACUCUGAGUCAUUGUUUUCACCUUUUUUCCCAGUUUCCCAGCGUCACCUCUAAGUGUCGCCAAAGGAACUAUAGCUGUAGAAACGUGCGUACGACAGCUCUGGAGCUGGCGUGGGGACGAGAAGGGUCCAGCUGCAGGCUUGGGCGUUCCCGUCAUGACACAAAAACGCCCAUCGGGCGUUCCCGUCAUGACACAAAAACGCCCAUCAGGCGUUCCUGUAGCGUUUCAUCGAUCACUCAAGAAGAGGUGAGUGAGUUUCGCAAGGCAUGCUGGGUAUGCUACCCUUCCUUUUUUGGCGGUUUUACCUCGUAGUAACUUUCCAGAAAAACGAAAGGGUUAUGAUCAGAGAUUAUGUCAGUAAGUAUGAUAUUGUUUAAUUGACAACAUUGGCUGUGAAGUAUUCUCAUUUAAAUCACUGAUAAGCUGUGGUAUCGUUGUAUCCGAAUUCGAAUCGGAUAUAAAUACUCGUGACAAGCAUGGUUCGGUGGCAGCGAAUGCUAUGCUAUCGUCCAUAAACGUUGAAUAUACUAUUCAGAAAUCAGCAACGUUUAAGACGGUUUGUAGGUAGGGUAAAGUUUGCAGCGAAGGCUUUGCCGAUUAUUUUACUGUGAGGUUAACAUUACCAAAGUACAUUGUUAAGUUGGAUGUUAAGGUGUCAGCUGGCAUGGUAAGAGGCAUGAAAUCGCGGCCACUCUGCUUCGUUGUGGUGACACACGCAUCGGAUUAAACUGUGCAUGUAAACGUACUAGUACGUCUAAACUAACUAGUAUGUUUACAUGCAUGGCAUAUCAGAGAAUUCUGUCAGUUCGGUCGCGGCGCAACGAAUGAAUAAAGAUCGUUAGCACUCUGAAAAACAGAUGACAGAUGUGCCCUCAGUUACUACUUUAUUACCUCGUUGAUGACCAACGUUUAGGAAAACAUGUACUUUUAAUUCACCCUUGGGUGAAAUCGAAGCGUAGUGUGUACUGAAUGCGUGUUGAUGAUGAUGCAUAUGAAUUGCAACUUACACGUCUUCCAAACCUUUUCAGUACCCUGGCACAUGCUUUGUCCAAUGGACCAUGGAAGGGACUUUACUUGGCUGACGAGGACGUACCUCACCAGUAUCAGAGCAACAGCUGUGGGGUGUUUAUGCUGAUGGUGAGAUGCAUUAUUUUCAGAAAUGAUGACUAGUUUGCAAAACAACUAACUCAUUUGCAUGUUAAUUUCAGUACGCAAUGUAUUCUACCCUCAAAAGCAAUAUGAUUUCAGUGAGGUGAGUUCUUUCUAAUCUCAAUCAGAUGUGUAGCAUGAAAUAUAAGGCUUUUAAUAAUUUAGUCAUCCUUACUGGAGGCUACAAUUAACAUGCAUCAUAGGUCAUACACAUUACUUUGUCUUCAGGUACUGCACUUACGGGAGGAGAUGGCUACAUCUUCACAAUAAUUUACACUGCCAUAGUACACUGCUAAACAGUACUGUAACAUGGAUUUGUAUUGGGCUAUGAAGUCAUUUAAAGCAUAAUUUUACUUUUCAGGGGGACAUGCUCUCUAUCAGGAGGUGGUGGUUUGACAGCUGUUGGAGACCUUUAUGCUUGAAAGGCUAGCCCUGCAUAACUAGCUGGCUCCUUCUCACCCUCUCCAUCUCCCCAUCUCAGUCACACCUUCCAAUCACUAAGCAGUGAAAGCCCUGCAGGACUAGCUGGCACACCAAGCUCACCCUCUCCAUCUCCCCAUCUCAGCCACACGCUCCAAUCUGGCACAACAGAGGACAGGCCAUUCUUACCACCCGAAGUCCUUCAGCAAUUUGUACAAGAGACGCUGAGACUGGACAUGGCGAUGCUUGGCGUGUUCAACAGGGUUUCAAACACAUUCCGAGAACUUAUCAAGCCUCUCCAUCAUUCCAUAUAUAUAAAUGACAAUUUGGCAGGGGACAUUAAGCUUAAUAAAGACAAUCUCAUAUACAUAACGGUUAGAAAGAUGUACAACAAUGCAGGCUGUGUCAGUGGCCUUGCGCUACGCCUCAAAGGCUUCUCAAAAAAGAAGAAUUGGCCUAGCGCACCCCUGGUACUGAGGCACGUUGCAUAUGCCAGGUUUGUCAUAAAAGAUGUCUGCCUAGCAUAAUGUUCUUUUAUUACUCCUUUUUCGUUUUAUUUGGGACGUCUUUUUUUGCAAUCCCUUUCAUUUGUAAAUGUACAUACUACUGUAGUAAAUGUAUCUGCCCAGAAAUGCUGGUAUUUUAUUACUCCUUUCUUUUUUGUUUUUGUGACAAAUGCUAUACGAUGCAUGUAACAUACAUUUGUGCCUACGAUGUAUGUUGUAAGGUUAAUUG